Molecule: RNA transcript, 5489 nt
Organism: Piliocolobus tephrosceles (Ugandan red Colobus)
Lineage: Eukaryota; Metazoa; Chordata; Mammalia; Primates; Cercopithecidae
Exons: 1
Source: RefSeq, a predicted model, not a curated record
CUUGUUUGUCUUUUUUGAUCUUCAUUAGUUUAAAGUCUGUCUUAUCAGAGACUAGGAUUGCAACCCCUGCUUUUUUUUUGCUUUGCAUUUUCUUGAUAAAUAACCAAAGGGUGAGUGGUUGAUAGAGUGAGCCAGGCCUCGAGCGGUACUGUUGGGAGGUUGUGGGGAACACACAGACACGGGCACCCGUGAGAGCUAGAAGCACGCCACACCAGGGCGGGUCACGGUUCCCGCCCUGCAGAAGCCGUGAGGCCGGCAUGUGUUGGUCUGUGCUGCCCAGCCUGUGGUGAGCCGUCUGCCCGGCCUGUGGUGAGUCGUCUGCCCGGCCUGUGGUGAGCUGUCACUCAACUAAUCAAGUCCAGGCAGCAGAACGUGAACAGAGCCUCAUGGGCACAGCUCUUGGCAAUUACUGGCGCAUCUCAUUUUAUUGCACUUCAUUGUGCGUUUUAUAAAUGACAGGCGUGUGGCAGCCCCACUAGAGCAACCCUGUCAGUGCCACUCUUCCAGCAGCAUGCCCACUCCACGUCUCCUCGUCUCCUUGUGGUAAUUCUCGCAAUACCUCAAACUGUUAUUGUAUGUGUUAUAGUGACCUGUAGUGUCACGACUAUCUCGGGGCGCCCAUAAGAAACGGUGAACUUGAUUGAUAAAUGUGAAUGUUCUGACGGCUCUGCUGGUUGGCUGUCCCUCCCCGCUCCCCAGCCCCCACCCCACCACUCUUCAGGCCUCCCUAUUCCCUGAGCCACAACAUUGAAAUUAGGUCAACUAAUAACCCCACAGUGGCCUCUAAGUGUUCAAGUGAAAGGAAGAGUUGCAAGUCUCUCACAUUAAAUCAAAAGCUAGAAAUGUUUAAGCUUAGUGAGGAAGGCACGUUGAAAGCCAAGACUGGCAGGAGAGGCCCAGCUUUCAGCCUAACAGUUAGCCAAGUUGUGAAUGCAAAGGAAAAGUUAUUUAAGGAAAUUAAAAGUGGUCCUCCAGUGAACACACAAAUGAUAGUGAAACAGCCUUUUGCAGAUAGGGAGAAAGUGUUAGUGGUCUGACAGAUCAAACCAACCACAACAUUCCCUUAAGCCAAAGCCUAAAACAGAGCGAGGUCCUGACUCUUUUCAAUUCUGUGAAGGCUGAGUGAUGUGAGGAAGCUGUGAACAGAAGUUUGGAGCUAGCAGAGGUUGGUCCACAAGGUUUAAGGAAAGAAGCCGUCUCCGUAAUCGGAGUGUGAGGUGAGGCAGCAGCUCUCCAGAAGAUCCUGCUAAGGUCACGAUGGAGGUGGCCGCACUCAACCACAGACCUUCAGUGUAGAGGAAGCAACCUUGAACUGGAGAAGACACCAUGCAGGACUUUCAUGGGUAGGGAGAAGUCAAUGCCUGGCUUCAGAGCUUCAGAAGACAGUCUGACUCUUAUUAGAGGCUAAUGCUGCUGUGACUUUAAAACCCAUUUAUGCCUAGUGUUCCAUUAUUGGAACGCUAAGCAUGUGGGAGUUUACAUUCUGCUUAAGGUCACUGCCAAGGUCUGCAAAAAUUUAAAAAUUGCAACCUCAGCCAUAAAUGGGUUAAGGUGAAGGCAGUGCUCACCAUUCUGAGAAUCCUAGGAUUCUUAAGAAUGAGGCUCUGCUCUGCCCGUGGCUCUAGAAAUGGAACGGCAAGGCCCAGGUGGUAGCACAUCUGUGCACAGCAUGGUUCAUGGAAUACUGUAAACCCACUGUUAGGCCCUCAGAAAAGGAGAUUCCUUUCAAAAUACGACAGCUCGACGGUGCGCCUGGUCACCCAAGAGCUCUGAGGCCAGUGUACAAGGGGUUUGUGUUUUCGCGCUGACACAGCGUCCGUUCUGCAGCCCGUGGGCCCAGGCGUCAUCCCAACUCUCACGUCUUACUGAAGAAAGACAUUUUCUAAGGCUGUAGCCCACAGGUAGUGAUUGCUCUGAUGGAUCUGAGCAAAGUAAAUGAAAAACUUUGAAUAACCAUGGUCCAACUUACCAGGGACAUUGAGAUGAGUGGGAGGCUCUGAGAAGCAGUUAUAAAAUGCAAAUUCUACAAGUAUCUGGUUUAGCGUUUCAGAAACAGCCUUUUCAGGAUCUACUUCUCAGGGACCCCCUCCAACCCCAUCAGUGCCGCUCCUCCAGCAGCACGCCCACUGCACGUCUCCUUGUGGUAAUUCUCGCAAUACGUCAAACUGUUAGUGUAUGUGUUGUGGUGACCUGUGGUGUCACUACCACCUUGGGACGCUCACAUGAACCCCAAGGCACUUGGUGAAAACCCUUCCCAGGGAGUGGGCUUAGCGUGGGAAAGGAGGUUCCUCCUUGUCCUGCACACGCCAUGUCCUUGGAGGGCCCAGAGCCCCCGCGGUCACCUGUCUUGUGUGUUCUUCCAGGGGCAGCUGGCAGUGUGGCCUCACAGCACAUGCUUGUUCCAUGUCUUGCUCUUUUCGCAUAAUGUAGAUUGGAGGUCAUUCCAUGUGAAGCCGCUGGAGCCCCUGGGCUCUACUGCUGCUGUGACCUUUCUACUCAGGGGUAUUUCCAGCUUAUUUGAGCCGUAUUAGCAAAGUGACGGGAAACCAGCCCCACGUACCCAUCCCUGGAGCCAGCGUGUCCACCUUUUGUGUCCUCCACGCCUCCAGAUCCCCACGCUGGUGUUGUGACACUCAUUCCAGCCUCAUUUCAUCCAUUAUUGCUUCCCUGAUGUAUCUCAAAGAGAUAAAAACGUUUAAAAGACCAUAAAACCACCAUUCCACCACAGAAUUCCAAAUAUCCAAUCAAUGUUCAGAUCUUCCUAAUUGCCUUAUAAAUUGCUUCAUGUUUUAAGUUUGCUUGCUGGAAUCUGGCAGUGUCCGUGUCACCUUUACAACAUGACUUUUCUGUCUCCCCGACGCCAACGCUCUUUUCUUAGUUCAGCUAAAGAAGGGGCUUGUGCAUCCUGCACUCUGCUGACCGGGGCCCUGUGGUUUUGCGUGUUCUGCUCCGUCCUAUUGAGAGGUGGUCAGACCGAGGCCACAUCAGGCUCCCCUGCGAUUCCGUUUGGUAGGAGCACCUCGGGGGUCUCAGGGCACCUCUGUGGCGCUGUUGUUGUGCCUUCCUCCACUGUUAGCUGAAAUAGUAAAGGGAAAUCCAAGGUUCACGUUCCUCACUAAAACAUCCGCUCUUCGAUUAUACGGAUGUUUCAUGCAUUUGUGAUACGGUUACUCACUGAUGUACAUUUUGGCCAUUUUAAAUCAUUCACUGUUUAAAAUGCUGCUGUAGUAAGUAUUUGUAUCUAUACAUAAUUUCACUCAAGUGGCUCUAUGUGGAAUAAAUUCUAAAAAUUUCUGGGUCAAAGAGCACACAGAAUGCCCCAAUCUUGCUGUUCACCACCUGCAGCGGCUGUGCCAACCCACCCCCACCAGCGAUGGAGCACCUGCCUCGUGCCCUUACAGGGAGGGAAAGCAUCUUCUCACAUAUUUAUGAACUGCUUUAUUUCCCUUUUAGUAAAGUAUUCUUUUCAUUAGCCCAUUUUUCUAUUGGUCAGUAUUUUCAUAAGGAAAACUCUCUGACGUGCUGCGAAUUUUUCUGCCAUUUGACAUUUGAUUCAUUCUGAGACAAUCACUCCUGGUUGUGAAAUUCAAAAAACAACAUUGUCCAAUUUUGCUUCUGGGAUUUCUACUUUUUAAUUACAUCUUUGAUACAACUGGAAUUUCUUUUGGUAAAGAGAUUAUAGAUGCAAAUUUUUCUUCCCAUUUGGAUACCUGAUUGUCCCAACAUCGUUUAUAUCCUGCUUUUUUUUCCAGGAAUGCAAUGCCAUCUUUCUAUGUUGGUUGUGAACAUGCAUUUGGCACCGGGCAGGGCCAACCCUCAUGGCGUGUGUGUGAACACAUCCCUAAACCAUAGUCUGAUUUACCCUGUUUUUGUAGUUCACGUGAGCAGAAUCCAGCAUCUGUGUUCCUGCAUCUGGUGUUCACUCCACGUGUUUGGGGUGUGUGCAUAUCCGCUGUGUGUGGUGUGGACUUUACCCAUGUCCCAUGUGCAAACGCCACCCCACCCAGAGGCCACGCCAGGACCCAGGCCUGUGGGCAGUGGUUCCGUUUGCUCUUGCAAGGACACUGUGUCCUCCUGCGUGAGAGUCCCUGCUUCGGGUCUAAUCCUGGGAGUGGAAGGCAGGUCGUGGGUGUGGCUGAUACCCACCAAGAGGCUGCACACCCGGAGCCAGAGGGCCUGGCUGCACAGCUCCCUCGCACUGGGCUGGGCACUUGGUCACCGGCAGUUUGGGGAAUGUGUUCUCAUGGUGGUUUCAGGUGUGAGUCUGAGCAUCAACCCCGUGUCCACUGGAUGCUGGAGCUCUUCCCUCUCUGGCGCUGUUUCUCAUCAGGGUGCCCCACCGGCCUACUGCACGCUGCGCCUCUCCUGACCUGUAGGAGUCCUCUGUGCCUCUGGCUGCUCACCUUUGUUGGUUUAAUGUUUUGCAAAUGUCUUCCUCCGUUUUGUGGUUUGCUUUUUCAUUCUUCUAGUGGAACAUGUUGCUUUACAGAAGCAUCUACUUUCAACAGUCUUGUUUAAGACGGUGUCAGCACUGGUCCCAGUUCAGGCCUGGUCCCUGAACUCAGGUAUGUUUUGCAAACUCUAGAAGAGAGAGACAAGGGAGGAAGGACAGGUAGCGGCAGAGUGUGUGGAAAUGUUUUCCAGGCAGGAUGGCUUUCAUUCAAGUGACAGCAUCAUUUGAGAGACAGCAGUGGUAGGUGGUGUAAUGGAUUCUGACGUGGUGGGGGUAGGGGGCACGGCCAGGCUCCGAUUCCUCCUGCUGGGCCCAAGGACUGAGGACUGUGACGGGAGUGCAGUCCCUCCUGUGUCCUGCCAGAGGCCAGAGACUUGGGUCCACCACUCCACCGGGAUGUGUCUUCAGGAACUUCUUCAGGAGGUACUGGGGUGCCGGGAAUGUCUGAAAGGCAUUUCUGGACGCCUGCUGUGGCCUCAUACAGGAGAGUAGGCGACCUGGCCAAAGUCGGCACACAAGACGAGAUAAAGCAUCCAGGGACGCGGGGUCACAGCCCUCACUCCACUGCAGGGGUGGGGAUGAGAGAGGCCAGAGGGGAUCAGACAGGGCCAGCUUUGAUGGUUCUGAGAUGCAGUUUCUGAGGGGCCUCCUCCCAUUCCUGGCCUCUGCAGAGGGGUGGUUGUGUGGAGGGAAGGUGGGUCUGCCCUGGUCGAACAGCACAGGCAUUGCCUGUUAGUCUCAUUCCAUUCCGAGUGCCCCCAGGGAGAGUCAGCCACCUUCUGCAGAGAGGCAAGGCCAGAAGGCAGGGGCCUCCCCUCUGGUGACCACCAGGGCCUGUGGUACAAGCAGUGCCGGCUGCUGUCCUCUCUGGCCCUUGUCUCCUUCCAGCCUCUCCGCUAUUAGCAGAGCGGCAGAAGUUCAUAGUAGACCACUUGACAGGUAGACACAGGCCACCCCCAACCCCUGGCCCUGGAGGAGGCUCCCCAGUGGCCUCCUGGAGCCAGGAGAGAUGGAACUGAGCUGUAUCUGCUGCUCC